This 509-nucleotide ribosomal RNA is filed under the name Sticta guilartensis. RNAcentral describes it as "partial 28S ribosomal RNA". It matches the Rfam family "Eukaryotic large subunit ribosomal RNA", at positions 124 to 646 of the family's 3401-position model. Lineage: Eukaryota; Fungi; Ascomycota; Lecanoromycetes; Peltigerales; Lobariaceae. The record is from RNAcentral.
GGCCUCUUUGGGGUCCGAGUUGUAAUUUGUAGAGGGUGUUUCGGGCGCGAUGCCGGUCUAAGUUCCUUGGAACAGGACGUCGCAGAGGGUGAGAAUCCCGUACGCGACCGGCGAUCAAGCCUGUGUGAAGCCCCUUCGACGAGUCGAGUUGUUUGGGAAUGCAGCUCAAAAUGGGUGGUAAAUUUCAUCUAAAGCUAAAUAUUGGCCAGAGACCGAUAGCGGACAAGUAGAGUGAUCGAAAGAUGAAAAGCACUUUGGAAAGAGAGUCAAACAGUACGUGAAAUUGUUGAAAGGGAAGCGCUUGCAAUCAGACCGGUCCGGAGGCGAUCAGCCGCUGCUCGUUCAGCGGUGCACUCGCCUGCGAUCCGGCCAGCAUCGGUUUGGGCGGUGGGAUAAAAGUCCCGGGAAUGUAGCUUCUCUCGGGGAGUCUUAUAGCCCGGGUCGCAAUGCCGCCCGCCCGGACCGAGGACCGCGCUUCGGCUAGGAUGCUGGCGUAAUGGUUGCAAGCG